GAUGAACGCUGGCGGCGUGCCUAAUACAUGCAAGUCGAGCGAACAGACGAGGAGCUUGCUCCUCUGACGUUAGCGGCGGACGGGUGAGUAACACGUGGAUAACCUACCUAUAAGACCGGGAUAACUUCGGGAAACCGGAGCUAAUACCGGAUAAUAUAUUGAACCGCAUGGUUCAAUAGUGAAAGACGGUUUUGCUGUCACUUAUAGAUGGAUCCGCGCCGCAUUAGCUAGUUGGUAAGGUAACGGCUUACCAAGGCAACGAUGCGUAGCCGACCUGAGAGGGUGAUCGGCCACACUGGAACUGAGACACGGUCCAGACUCCUACGGGAGGCAGCAGUAGGGAAUCUUCCGCAAUGGGCGAAAGCCUGACGGAGCAACGCCGCGUGAGUGAUGAAGCUCUUCGGAUCGUAAAACUCUGUUAUUAGGGAAGAACAAAUGUGUAAGUAACUAUGCACGUCUUGACGGUACCUAAUCAGAAAGCCACGGCUAACUACGUG
This 497-nucleotide ribosomal RNA is filed under the name uncultured bacterium. RNAcentral describes it as "partial 16S ribosomal RNA". It matches the Rfam family "Bacterial small subunit ribosomal RNA", at positions 28 to 507 of the family's 1533-position model. The record is from RNAcentral.